RNAcentral lists this ribosomal RNA (454 nucleotides) under uncultured bacterium. RNAcentral's name for it is "bacterial SSU rRNA". It matches the Rfam family "Bacterial small subunit ribosomal RNA", at positions 28 to 507 of the family's 1533-position model. The record is from RNAcentral.
GAUGAACGCUGGCGGCGUGCCUAACACAUGCAAGUCGAGCGAUUCUCUUCGGAGAAGAGCGGCGGACGGGUGAGUAACGCGUGGGUAACCUGCCCUGUACACACGGAUAACAUACCGAAAGGUAUGCUAAUACGAGAUAAUAUGCUUUUAUCGCAUGGUAGAAGUAUCAAAGCUCCGGCGGUACAGGAUGGACCCGCGUCUGAUUAGCUAGUUGGUAAGGUAACGGCUUACCAAGGCGACGAUCAGUAGCCGACCUGAGAGGGUGAUCGGCCACAUUGGAACUGAGACACGGUCCAAACUCCUACGGGAGGCAGCAGUGGGGAAUAUUGCACAAUGGGCGAAAGCCUGAUGCAGCAACGCCGCGUGAGCGAUGAAGGCCUUCGGGUCGUAAAGCUCUGUCCUCAAGGAAGAUAAUGACGGUACUUGAGGAGGAAGACCCCGGCGUAACUACGUG